This 71-nucleotide transfer RNA is filed under the name Aegithalos glaucogularis vinaceus. RNAcentral's name for it is "tRNA-Glu". The record is from RNAcentral. Lineage: Eukaryota; Metazoa; Chordata; Aves; Passeriformes; Aegithalidae.
AAUUCCCGCUUGGCCCUUAACCAAGAUCUGCAGCCUGAAAAACUGCCGUUAAACACUUUAACUACAGGAAC